This 254-nucleotide ribosomal RNA is filed under the name uncultured bacterium. RNAcentral describes it as "partial 16S ribosomal RNA". It matches the Rfam family "Bacterial small subunit ribosomal RNA", at positions 524 to 776 of the family's 1533-position model. The record is from RNAcentral.
UACGGAGGGGGCGAGCGUUGUUCGGAUUUACUGGGCGUAAAGGGUGUGUAGGCGGUUGCGCAAGUCUGGUGUGAAAUCUUCACCGCUUAACGGGAAGAGGUCACUGGAAACUGCGUAACUCGAGUGUGGUAGAGGCAAGCGGAAUUCCUGGUGUAGCGGUGGAAUGUGUAGAUAUCAGGAAGAACAUCUGUGGCGAAGGCGGCUUGCUGGGCCAUCACUGACGCUGAGACACGAAAGCGUGGGGAGCAAACGGG